This 829-nucleotide long non-coding RNA is filed under the name Calidris pugnax (ruff). RNAcentral describes it as "lncRNA (ENSCPUG00000000582.1)". The record is from RNAcentral. Lineage: Eukaryota; Metazoa; Chordata; Aves; Charadriiformes; Scolopacidae.
CCAAAUCUGCUGCCCAACCGGGGAGUCUCUCCCCUAAGUGUCACUGAGCCCUCCCAGGACAUAAGGACUUAAUUCCCUUCUGCUAGACAGCCCACUCGGGCACCAUCUGGAAGUCUCUGGCAAAGAGGUCGGGGGUUGCCAGGCUGUGGUAACACCAGAAGAUAAGCGGUUACUGGGCACACAGGUGGAGAUGGCUGCCAAGUGGCACCCGGCAUCCCCGCGGCGCCGUUCCCCAGAACCAAGCCACUUCUUGAAACGUCUUCCCUAGAAGGCGUGCAGAUGUUCUCCUAAGAACUGGCUAAAGGCUCCAACACGCCCAAGACCAGCCAUAUUUAACUGGCGAUUUUUGAGUCUCCAGCAGUCUGGAAGUAAACAUUUGAAAUCAGACUGGGGGAGUGAAAAUGCUGGUGAUGGCCAAGAUAAGCUUUACUACUGGGAGCUGCCAAAAGAGAACGUUGCUGCCAAAGGAAUGUGCAGAUGUUGGAAAUCUCAUCGAACAGAGUUCUUAAAGAGCAUCGGGUGCCUUGAGCUUGGCUAUGCUCAGGGUUCUGCAAGACUUCUGUGGAUUAGGAAACCUCCACAGAACUGGAUGGGAAAGAAAACAGGUUGAGGGUGGGAUGAGUUUACUGUAGGUACCCAGAAAUUAAACUGUUUGCAUCUAAAUAUUGGUUGUAUCUGCAGAACCUGUUUAACUGAUUCUUUUCAUCAUGAGAUAAUUUAGUUUUACAGAUACAGAGUCCUAUUGUGUAUCUCUCAGCAUGUGAUGCAAGGGUGGCAACAGCUAGUCUAAUCACAGCCAACAAUAAAGAGGAAAUUGUAAUUAAUGGCA